GUUGAAACACUAGUUCACAUUCAAUCACUGCAGUUAAGCAACAUCAAACUUGAUCAGUACCUAGAUGGGUAACCACUUGGGAAUAGCAGGUGCUGUAA
Molecule: non-coding RNA, 98 nt
Organism: Acanthosepion pharaonis
Lineage: Eukaryota; Metazoa; Mollusca; Cephalopoda; Sepiida; Sepiidae
Source: the annotation of a GenBank genome assembly